RNAcentral lists this ribosomal RNA (1499 nucleotides) under Weissella confusa. RNAcentral describes it as "bacterial SSU rRNA". It matches the Rfam family "Bacterial small subunit ribosomal RNA". The record is from RNAcentral. Lineage: Bacteria; Bacillati; Bacillota; Bacilli; Lactobacillales; Lactobacillaceae.
GAUGAACGCUGGCGGCGUGCCUAAUACAUGCAAGUCGAACGCUUUGUGGUUCAACUGAUUUGAAGAGCUUGCUCAGAUAUGACGAUGGACAUUGCAAAGAGUGGCGAACGGGUGAGUAACACGUGGGAAACCUACCUCUUAGCAGGGGAUAACAUUUGGAAACAGAUGCUAAUACCGUAUAACAAUGACAACCGUAUGGUUGUUAUUUAAAAGAUGGUUCUGCUAUCACUAAGAGAUGGUCCCGCGGUGCAUUAGCUAGUUGGUAAGGUAAUGGCUUACCAAGGCGAUGAUGCAUAGCCGAGUUGAGAGACUGAUUGGCCACAAUGGGACUGAGACACGGCCCAUACUCCUACGGGAGGCAGCAGUAGGGAAUCUUCCACAAUGGGCGAAAGCCUGAUGGAGCAACGCCGCGUGUGUGAUGAAGGGUUUCGGCUCGUAAAACACUGUUGUAAGAGAAGAAUGACAUUGAGAGUAACUGUUCAAUGUGUGACGGUAUCUUACCAGAAAGGAACGGCUAAAUACGUGCCAGCAGCCGCGGUAAUACGUAUGUUCCAAGCGUUAUCCGGAUUUAUUGGGCGUAAAGCGAGCGCAGACGGUUAUUUAAGUCUGAAGUGAAAGCCCUCAGCUCAACUGAGGAAUUGCUUUGGAAACUGGAUGACUUGAGUGCAGUAGAGGAAAGUGGAACUCCAUGUGUAGCGGUGAAAUGCGUAGAUAUAUGGAAGAACACCAGUGGCGAAGGCGGCUUUCUGGACUGUAACUGACGUUGAGGCUCGAAAGUGUGGGUAGCAAACAGGAUUAGAUACCCUGGUAGUCCACACCGUAAACGAUGAGUGCUAGGUGUUUGAGGGUUUCCGCCCUUAAGUGCCGCAGCUAACGCAUUAAGCACUCCGCCUGGGGAGUACGACCGCAAGGUUGAAACUCAAAGGAAUUGACGGGGACCCGCACAAGCGGUGGAGCAUGUGGUUUAAUUCGAAGCAACGCGAAGAACCUUACCAGGUCUUGACAUCCCUUGACAACUCCAGAGAUGGAGCGUUCCCUUCGGGGACAAGGUGACAGGUGGUGCAUGGUUGUCGUCAGCUCGUGUCGUGAGAUGUUGGGUUAAGUCCCGCAACGAGCGCAACCCUUAUUACUAGUUGCCAGCAUUCAGUUGGGCACUCUAGUGAGACUGCCGGUGACAAACCGGAGGAAGGUGGGGAUGACGUCAAAUCAUCAUGCCCCUUAUGACCUGGGCUACACACGUGCUACAAUGGCGUAUACAACGAGUUGCCAACCCGCGAGGGUGAGCUAAUCUCUUAAAGUACGUCUCAGUUCGGAUUGUAGGCUGCAACUCGCCUACAUGAAGUCGGAAUCGCUAGUAAUCGCGGAUCAGCACGCCGCGGUGAAUACGUUCCCGGGUCUUGUACACACCGCCCGUCACACCAUGAGAGUUUGUAACACCCAAAGCCGGUGGGGUAACCUUCGGGAGCCAGCCGUCUAAGGUGGGACAGAUGAUUAGGGUG